This 346-nucleotide long non-coding RNA is filed under the name Sorghum bicolor (sorghum). RNAcentral's name for it is "long non-coding RNA (SBIC_LNC001138)". Lineage: Eukaryota; Viridiplantae; Streptophyta; Magnoliopsida; Poales; Poaceae. The record is from RNAcentral.
AUACCAUUACAGCAGGCUUCUUGAGACGAUCGAAACGGACAUAUUAUUUUCUAUAUUUGGAGUCCAAAGUGAAAAGAUAUUAAUUUCACAAAUAAAGGAGAAUUACCACUAAUGGGCCCCACACCAAAGGAAGGCCCAUGACGUGAGAAGAGGCUCAUAUGGCAUGAUAGAGGCCCAAGAGAGGCGCCCCAAGCUGCUCUCUUUAGUGGACUCACAUAAGGGAUGAUUGGAAGGUCCAAGUUGAUGUAUAAUAGCCCAACAGAGCAAACAGUGGAAGAAUUAGUUCCACAUCGCCUGUCUAGAAGUGGUAGGAGGCUUUUCUAGGCUAUAAAGAAAGAGGCAGACC